GCACCCUGAUCCCAUCCAAGGCUUCUGCAGCGCGCUCAGGUGUCUUCUCGAGGCCUGCGCCUCAAAUCUCAUGGUGGCCUCACCCCACAUCUCUUGAGAAAAUCAGCGUUUUGCCUGAAAAGCCAGAGGUGUGGGCAAACAGCAUCAGUAACGGCCGAGGUGGGUGAGAAGCAAACUGCCUCAAGACUCCGGCUUUCAAAUGGGUCACGCCGUGCCCCUGCCUCCUUCAGCCGCAGCUCUGGUAGAGGCAUCCUGCGGAGCAGCUCAGCGACUCUCUCGCGUAGAGCAACAAGCCGAGCGUCCCACACCUGACAGAGAAAGCCAAGAGAAGUUUGAAUCGGCGCUGGCUUGCCGGUGGAAGUCAAAGACGGGAAAGCCCGGAGAAAGGAAGAUGAAAU
Gavia stellata (red-throated loon) is the source of this 398-nucleotide long non-coding RNA. RefSeq lists it as uncharacterized. The record is from RefSeq and is a predicted model, not a curated record. The transcript has 3 exons. Lineage: Eukaryota; Metazoa; Chordata; Aves; Gaviiformes; Gaviidae.